UACGUAGGGUGCAAGCGUUGUCCGGAAUUAUUGGGCGUAAAGAGCUCGUAGGCGGUCUGUCGCGUCUGCCGUGAAAGUCCGGGGCUCAACUCCGGAUCUGCGGUGGGUACGGGCAGACUAGAGUGAUGUAGGGGAGACUGGAAUUCCUGGUGUAGCGGUGAAAUGCGCAGAUAUCAGGAGGAACACCGAUGGCGAAGGCAGGUCUCUGGGCAUUAACUGACGCUGAGGAGCGAAAGCAUGGGGAGCGAACAGG
This 253-nucleotide ribosomal RNA is filed under the name uncultured bacterium. Its description in RNAcentral is "partial 16S ribosomal RNA". It matches the Rfam family "Bacterial small subunit ribosomal RNA", at positions 524 to 776 of the family's 1533-position model. The record is from RNAcentral.